UCACCAAACAUGGCAUUCUCAUCCCCCUAUCGCCUGGCUCUGCUGAUGCUCCUAUUGGCAACCUCAAUUUCUUCGAGCGCCCAGCGUGGCUUCUUCGUCCUCCUUGCAGGUCAGCAUGUAGUUGCCACUACCGCAGCUGCCGGCAUCCCAUUCCCAGCAGCGCAUGGCCAGACUAGCACGUCGCCACCGUCGCCGUGGUCUUCGGCACCACCACUGACGCUUCUCGGGGACAGGGCUCCUCUUCAAACUCCGCCGCGGCCGGAGCCGGCGAGGAACCGCAGAGGUUCUCCGCUGCCACCCUAGGCGACGUGACAUGCCGUUCGUCGACAGUACUGCCGGCCGUCGGUGCUGCGACCACGACGAUAUCACAGUUGCGCAGCAACGACAGGCCAAUCUUUAGCUUCGGUGUGCCAGUUUCUGGCGUGCUACUUUGUCUCGGAAUGGCUGGUCUAGAUAGUAGGUGCAGCGUUGACGUCUAAGGAUUAAUCCGUACACAGGACAUCUAGUUUGUAUUUUAACAAUCAGUUCAAUAGAAUUCCCGUUCAUUUUUUUUACAGUUACUAGAUUAUCCCCAUCCGUACAUGUGACCCUUAGCUAGGCACAUGGGCCUGUGGCAGUUGUUGUCAUGGGCGGCGCCAUGAAUUUCUGCAAUUGUCACGAGUACGAUGGCCAAAACACUGAACCCAGCUCAUCGCCUCACCCACACCCACACCCGCACCACCGGUGCAUUGAACAUAAGUUGUCUCUUCUCUAUAAAUUCAAUCAACCAAAGCUCCAACGGUUCCGGACCAUCGCAGCUAGCUCGCCCAUUAUUCGCCGGCAUGGGAAGAUUCCCCUUCCUCUGCUGCUCGGUGGCUCAAGCCUCAAGCUCUCUUGGUAGCAGUAUUUGUGGUGGUGGUCUCGUCGAUCGCCGACCAUGAACUGCCGGUGCCGGCGCGUGCCUGUCACGGCGACGAAGCUCCACCGCUGUUGGGACUUCUCGGUUCGAGGCCGCGUGGAGGUCCGCCACCGCCACGAUCGGCACCGUCGCACCAGCCGGUGGUUAUGCCCCCUCCGCCGCCGCCACACUACCCGUAGCCGUAGCUCUAGCGGAAGGGUUAUUAGGCAUCGAUCAGCUUGUUAGCCUCGUCGCCGGUGGGUGUGCUAGGGAGGCUGCCGGUGAGAGCGUCGCCGGCGCCAAAGCCGUCCCUCCGGACCGCCGCUGCUGGUUUAUCCUGCGGAACCGAAAUUCCUGAGACGGCAUGCCUGGCUGUCGGCUCGUGCCCAGUUUUCUCGUUGCGCACCUUGUGCUGCAUGACAUGACAUAUUGACAUGCGUGUCUCACUUCGAAUUGCAGGCACCGAUGUCAUGUGCUGCUGUAUGUCACGCUUGUGCCUGGUCGGUCCUUCAGCUAAGCUCUACUGAUCUUCCUAGUAGUCGGUCACAGCCGAAAACUCUUUUGAGCGCCGACCGGCGCCUCAUCCUCACCGGAGAGCACGUUGACAUUGCCACUUUGCCAGGAUGCCCGCAGCAGCUCUACAGACCAUCUGAUCCUCCUACUGUCCAAGCUCUUCGCCAUCAUGGAGAUAACGGUGUGCCGCUGUCGCUAAAGUCUGUCUAGUACUUGGAUUACACUCAAUUAUCAUAGAUUUUGAUGUAUAAAGAGCAUUAUGUUCAGAUUGAUUACUCUGUUCGAAGUAUCAAAAGUUCAUUAUGCUGAGAUUCAUUACUCCGUUU
Long non-coding RNA from Brachypodium distachyon (stiff brome), 1716 nucleotides. RefSeq lists it as uncharacterized. The transcript has 2 exons. Lineage: Eukaryota; Viridiplantae; Streptophyta; Magnoliopsida; Poales; Poaceae. The record is from RefSeq and is a predicted model, not a curated record.